GGGAUUGCCUCAGUAACGGCGAGUGAAGCGGCAACAGCUCAAAUUUGAAAUCUGGCCCCUUCGGGGUCCGAGUUGUAAUUUGUAGAGAGUGUUUCGGGGGAGACCGCGGUCUAAGUCCAUUGGAACAUGGUGUCAUAGAGGGUGAGAAUCCCGUAUGUGACCGUGGAUUGAACCCAUGUGAAGCCUCUUCGACGAGUCGAGUUGUUUGGGAAUGCAGCUCAAAAUGGGUGGUAAAUUUCAUCUAAAGCUAAAUACUGGCUGGAGACCGAUAGCGCACAAGUAGAGUGAUCGAAAGAUGAAAAGCACUUUGGAAAGAGAGUUAAACAGUACGUGAAAUUGUUGAAAGGGAAGCGCUGGCAACCAGACCUGCCCGUAGGCGAUCAGCCGCUGUUCUCAGCGGUGCACUCGCUCUGCGAUCAGGCCAGCAUCGGUUUCGGCGGUCGGAUAAAGGCCUUGGGAAUGUAGCUUCCUUUCGGGGGAGUCUUAUAGCCCUCGGUGCAAUGCGGCCAGCCGGGACCGAGGACCGCGCUUCGGCUAGGAUGCUGGCGUAAUGGUUGUCAGCGACCCGUCUUGAAACACGGACCAAGGAGUCUAACAUCUAUGCGAGUGUUUGGGUGUCAAACCCAUGCGCGGAAUGAAAGUGAACGGAGGUGAGAACCCUUAAGGGCGCAUCAUCGACCGAUCCAGAUGUCUUCGGAUGGAUUUGAGUAUGAGCAUAGCUGUUGGGACCCGAAAGAUGGUGAACUAUGCCUGAAUAGGGUGAAGCCAGAGGAAACUCUGGUGGAGGCUCGCAGCGGUUCUGACGUGCAAAUCGAUCGUCAAAUUUGGGUAUAGGGGCGAAAGACUAAUCG
This 851-nucleotide ribosomal RNA is filed under the name Parmotrema cetratum. Its description in RNAcentral is "eukaryotic LSU rRNA". It matches the Rfam family "Eukaryotic large subunit ribosomal RNA", at positions 71 to 937 of the family's 3401-position model. The record is from RNAcentral. Lineage: Eukaryota; Fungi; Ascomycota; Lecanoromycetes; Lecanorales; Parmeliaceae.